UUGGCACCAGGAGCCGAUGAAGGACGUGGUAAGCUGCGAAAAGCUGCGGGUAGCCGCAAACAGGCUGUGAUCCGCAGAUGUCCGAAUGGGGGAACCCGCAUGGCUAACGCCAUGCAUCCUUAGCUGAAUCCAUAGGCUAAGGAGGGCACACCCGGGGAACUGAAACAUCUAAGUACCCGGAGGAAAAGAAAGAAUAAUCGAUUCCCUAAGUAGCGGCGAGCGAAAGGGGAGGAGCCCAAACCAGAGGAAACUCUGGGGUUGCGGACAGGUCAAGAAAGCGAAGGAGUUCUUAGUCGAAUAGGUCUGGAAAGGCCAGCCACAGAAGGUAAAAGCCCUGUAGGCGAAAAGGACUUUGAGCGAGACCUGAUCCAGAGUACCACGGGACACGAGGAACCCUGUGGGAAGCAGGGAGGACCACCUCCCAAGGCUAAAUACUACCUGGUGACCGAUAGCGCAUAGUACCGUNNNNNNNN
This 473-nucleotide non-coding RNA is filed under the name Thermobrachium celere DSM 8682. Its description in RNAcentral is "Bacterial large subunit ribosomal RNA". It matches the Rfam family "Bacterial large subunit ribosomal RNA", at positions 33 to 512 of the family's 2925-position model. The record is from Rfam by way of RNAcentral. Lineage: Bacteria; Bacillati; Bacillota; Clostridia; Eubacteriales; Clostridiaceae.